UUCAAUUUUAAUUACACUUACAGACCUUUGUCAACGGAAGUCUUUCACAAGAAAGUCACUUCUUUAGUGUGGACAUGAAAGCUCCAUCAGGGAAAUGACCAAUAACCCAAAGUCCAUCUUUAUGUAUAUGUGAACACAUAUAUAUAUAUCUUGAACUCAUUGAGUAAAAAAUAUGUAAUUUGUGUAAGAUUAUCAUAAAAGGUUAACUUUGCCUUCUUCUGAAGGCUAUUUACCAAUUCUUUUUUUCCAAGGUAAUAUGAACUAAGUAUCAAAAAGGACGUAUAUUUUCGACUAUAGAGGCCAAUUUCUUAAAUAAACAAUAUAUAUAUAAACAAGCUUUAUUUAUGCCAGCUUCAGUUAGCUUGCGAGCUCGUUCUUACCUGGAAAAGUUUAGCAAAACAGUUAUCUCUUAAUGAAAAUUUGUACAUAAGAUUUAUACCAGAAACAAAACAGUCCUCUUAUUUAGUGCUUAAAAAGGGGAUUAUUACUUUUUAAGUGCUGCUAAGAUACGCCUCGUACACCGGUUGUUUUUUUAUUUCUAUUUAUUGAAGAGCAAAACGCCAGAUAGAUGCAUACGGUUCCUCGCACAUGUCAACUCUUUCUAUCAACUAUUGUGAUUUUGUGCUCCUCAGUCGUUUUUAAACUUAUUAUAUAAGUUGUUACCGUAUCUGAAGUCUUUUAAUAAAUCAUAACCAGUAACUUGAUACCUUUACAUAAAUUUACUAUAUGUCAAUAGGGAGUGAUUCGGAAGCAAAUUAUAAAAACUGAAUAAAUUGGAGGCGUAUGAAUUUUUAAUUAAUAAACAUGAUACCUAAACGGACAGGAUGCCGAAAAGAGGCAUCUCGAAAACUUCUGCAGAAAAAAAACCACGCAAAAUAGCUUCUCUUAACAACUGGUGUAUCCUAUAAUUGUCGCUGCUUUGGAAGGAAAUACGUACAAUUCUUCUGGAAGGUGAUAUUAACGGCAAAAUUAUUUUUUGCUAGCUUCAAUAAAAUUGAAAGGCGGAUUCAAAAAACUCAAUGACUCUACACUUCUCGGCCACGCACUAUAAUGAAGCAUUUAGUAGGUCUUAGUUAUCUUUUUAGUCGAU
This is a long non-coding RNA of Zophobas morio, 1090 nucleotides long. RefSeq lists it as uncharacterized. The transcript is spliced from 4 exons. The record is from RefSeq and is a predicted model, not a curated record. NCBI's taxonomy places the organism in Eukaryota, Metazoa, Arthropoda, Insecta, Coleoptera, Tenebrionidae.